This is a long non-coding RNA of Onychomys torridus (southern grasshopper mouse), 1471 nucleotides long. RefSeq lists it as uncharacterized. The transcript has 3 exons. The record is from RefSeq and is a predicted model, not a curated record. Lineage: Eukaryota; Metazoa; Chordata; Mammalia; Rodentia; Cricetidae.
GACCUUUCGCGUCUCCGCCCCGGGGUUGGCGGAUCGGAGAAGGAGCAAAGAUGGCGGAGUGAGGCGUUCCCCGGGCAGCUGGCCUCCGGGCCCGGGCGGGCCUCCCCCGAGAGGCACAGUACUUGUGCCGGACCGUAUGAGGAACCUCAGCACACAGGAUGAAUAGAUUCGUGACCUUAGGUGCUUUUAUAUUCAGCUCAGAAUUCUGAACUCAGGACUUGGCAAGAAUGUCUGUGUUGUCUUCUCAGUGGGGCGUCCUGGUUCUUUGAUCCAGCUGCUUCCUCUGGUGAAAUGCGGGUGUCUUCUACACACACCUCCACGGUUUGGAACGGAGAGACUGCUGCCUGCCUGCCUUUCCUUAACUCCACCUCAUUCAGCAGAGAGGAGUCUGGGAUGCAGCAGUCCUGCUGAGCUCAGGAGAAACCGACUCCCAUGAGGCUUCUGCUGCAGUUCGCUCCAUUAGAAAGACACCAUGUGCAAGUGGAAGGAAGGUGUUGAAUUGGAAACAGGUGCUUAGGUUGUGCAUCGUGAAUUCUUCCUUUUAAAAGCUCCAAACAACAAAACUAAACAAAUGCCAAGUGUGGGUGACUUCAAGUUUCAUUUGGUUUUGUUUUGUUUUUAAGUCUGCCAGUUUUAACACUAUUAUAAGCACAGUUGAGACUGCAGUGAUAAAUUCCAAAUAUUCAUUAUAAUUGGAGGUGAAAAAAACAUUAUCUAACCCCUAGCUCACCCUUUGACAGAAUUUCCUGGAGAAAAACAAGUCUCUGUUAUGAUAAAGGCAAAAGGCAAGAUAUCAAGGUUGCUUUCCUAUGAAUGGGAGUGAAACCAUUGCAGUGUGUACAGAUUCACAUUUUUAUGUGUAUAAAUCCACAUUUUCUAACAAGAUUUUUCUUUUGGAGAAGAAAGCUGUCGUUUGAGAAGGCUUCAGACAGUUUGAUGGUCGUAAGUGUUUGAGCUUUGUCUGUUUUGCUGUUUUCAUCCUUCUCAGGAAGGACCAGCUGGCCUGUGACUAGUUUGGAGUGGGAAGAGAACAGGCUGGGGUGAUGCUUGCCUCCUACUGCCAGUGCUGGGAGGCUGAGGCAGGAAGAUCAGAAGUUCAGGUCCAGCUUUGACCACAUGGUGAGACUGUCUCAAAAACAGCAGCAGAAAGGAAAAGUGAGCCCAGGAACAGCACUCUGUGUUCCGAGACUGCAUUCUUUUUUGUGGAAUCUCAUGUAGCACAUGUGACUUCAGUUUUCUAUGUGGCUGUAGCUGGAAGGAAAGUGACGUGUGUUAUGUGGUGGACCCUUUAUUAUAACUCACCUUCAACUUUGAACAUACAGGAGUGAAGGAAAAAAUAACUUGGGGGUGUGUAAAUUCUCUUCUGAGAAAAAGAAGCCACGAUGUCUAAUGUAGCAGCAUCUGACUUUUUAGAUUUUUAUAUUAUGUAGUUGCAUUUGUUAUAAAAGCAUAAAUAACCUUCAUCCCAGGA